AGCUAUGACAAUCCGUUUGUAUUGCUAGUACUCUAUGGAUUAGGAUUAUGGUUCAUUGUUUUGCUUAACAAAAGACUCCACUUCGCCAGAUAUUUACAUGACCCAUCAAGUUAGCCAGGUGUGUCUGGCGGUGAUUACGGCUAUUUAUUGUAUAAUAAUGCCAACAUAUUUAUAUCUGGAAUUUGUCUUUCAGCAUCAGUAGAACAUGCCUGACUCUCCUCCACUACUCAGGGAGAGGUCUAAUGCCUCCCAUCAAAAAGACAGCUGGCCCAAGCAAGCACAUGUUACACAUGAAGAAAUGAGGACUUGCAGUGAGUUGUGAACUUCAAUGCAAUAGUAUUACCAGGACGCCACCCAGGACACAAAUAUUUUGGUGGAAAGCUGCUGCCAUCCCAUGUGACAAAAGCAGCUGUGAGACGUCUUUACAAGGAAUCAAACACAACACUUGAGGUACGUGUAGUCGGGCUGUCUUCCUUAAGGAAUCUGUGGAGAAAAUUGCUGCCCCACAUCUCAAGCACUUAGCCCAGGACAGACCUGUGCUGGCAGUGCCAGAGGAACAGCUUUCAGGUCUUCAGAUCUGCCAAUCUGCCAGACAGGGGUUAACAUCCCACAGCUGGUUGGACUGGAGGAUGGUAUGGUGCUGGGGGAGAGCUAUGGGUUGCUAUAACACCUGACUCAGUACUUCAGGCCACUGCCACAGUUCAAGAAGAUACCAUCACUUCAGCUUCGAUGAUCUGGAGCCUGGUGUUGUUAUCGCGAAGGAGCGUUCUGACUGUCGGGACCAGGUUUCAGCUGCUGCGCCACGCUGACGUCCUUCCUCCCAUAGAUGGUCUGCCUGUACAAGCACCACCUGGACUGGACACAGCUAGACAAACGUAUCUUUUUGAGAAUAUCAGGGAGUUUUGCAACAAAGAGGCUAUGGACAUCCAAUGCCCUGCACCAAAGUCAGGGGCAGGACAGAAACAGUCUCUUAAAAUAUAGAUUAUCUUGUUCAUGCGUGGUUCAAAUGAACCAGUUCAUCACAGUGCCUCUAUUCAAAUGAUCUCUCCUAACACAUGUUGCUGCUACAAUUUUAUUUUUGUAUCCUGCUACUCAGCCACUUUACCCCUGAUUGUAUGCAUAUAACUACCUCAUCUAUCACUGAUAUCGUUACUGAUAUUAUUCUUGUACAUACUGUAUAUUAUAUUAUUUAUAUUGACAGUAUCUAUUUUUGAUUUUGCUACUAUGCAAGUAACCAUUUCCCUGUACCGUUUACACCUUCUGUAGAGACUCAUCCACUUAGCAAGAUGUGGCUGGGGGUUAUAGCAUUUCUUUCACAUGACCCAUUAAUUUAGACAAGUGUGUCUGGGUAAGUGUCAUCUAAUAUUCAUAAAAUAUUUCUAUUUACCUGGAAUUUUUCCUUAUUGUAGGCUACUACUUUUACCACUUUUAGGUUUAGUCUUUACUACACUACUCACUGAUUAGCACAUGACCUCACAUGUGAAUCCUUAAAGAGAUGGGUGGGGCUGGCUUAAGAGGGUGUGAACAAUGCUGAAUGGGUUUAGACAAAGAAGAGCUCUCCAGUAGGUUUACCAAACAAUUCAAGGGCCAUUUUCUCAAAAGUGAGGUUAUAAGUGCAGUGUAUGAUAUACCAUUUUCUAGCUCUGUGUCUCUGCUUUUAUCCAAUGUAAAAAAACACAAUUUCAAAGUUUGCUACAUCAGACCGAAUCAAGGCGGUUGGUCACAUUUAAGAAUGUGUUAUUCAAUGUGUUUCUCUGGGCUAUAGCAGUAAAGGCCAAAUUCAAUAUUUUAUCAAAUCUUUUUUUUAUACUUAAAGAAGUCCUCCCAUCCACCCUCCACCACUCCCCCUUAUGUUUCGGGGGCCGAUUAGCCACCAGUUACUGUCUGGGCCCCUAAUUAGUGACUGACUAGAUAAUAAAUAGCUCCACAACGCUCAGUCCUAGUUGCUGUGGUGAUAAGAGUGGGCGGAGAACACUCACGACAGAGACAGUACUAGAACACUUAGAUGGCGUCUCGGGACCCAAAGAUAAUGGUAUAAAGGCGUGCAUGUGUCCUCUGUGUGGGGUGUCGGCAGGUAGCCUGGCGGUGUUGGGGAUGGGGGCGCUGUUUAGACUAUUUAUGCUAAUUGGGUAAUUUUUGAAACGGCUUCCCACAAAAUCCUUGAUCGUACAAUAUGCAUAUUAUUAUUAUUAUUGGAUAGAAAACAGUCUAUAGUUUCUAUAGGAGUUGAAAUUUUGUCUCUAAGUGGAACAGAGCCCAUUCUACAGCAAUUUCCCUGACAUGGAUUCAGAUUUCAGAAAUGUUGGCCACUGUUCUGAAGUCAGUUAAAAGGGCACUCUUAUUGCUAUGACUGUACGGACACUUCUUACGUCUUCCCCUGGAUGCCUUUACGUGAUGACGAUUCCAAUGGGGUCGAUUGCGCGUUCACAGGCCCUAUAAAUCAAAAAACCCUGUAGCUAGCAAGUCUUUUCUUGGUGCGUCACGCGCGUGGAGGACACCGACCCUCUCCUGUUCCAAGCGUUAGUUUAGCCUGUUAUAUUUCUCCGGUCAUCUUUUCACUCGUUAUAGGAGUUAAAAACAUCAUAAGGUAGUUAAUUUAAAGCGUUUUAUAGCAAUUUAUAUCCGUUUAGU
Molecule: long non-coding RNA, 2631 nt
Organism: Salvelinus fontinalis (brook trout)
Lineage: Eukaryota; Metazoa; Chordata; Actinopteri; Salmoniformes; Salmonidae
Exons: 3
Source: RefSeq, a predicted model, not a curated record